GACGAACGCUGGCGGCGUGCCUAACACAUGCAAGUCGAACGGAAAGGCCCUGCUUUUGUGGGGUGUUCGAGUGGCGAACGGGUGUGUAACACGCGAGUAACCUGCCCUUGACUUUGGGAUAACUUCAGGAAACUGGGGCUAAUACAGGAUAGGAGCUCCUGCAGCAUGGUGGUGGUUGGAAAGUUUCGGCGGUUGGGGAUGGACUCGCGGCUUAGCAGCUUGUUGGUGGGGUAGUGGCUUACCAAUGCAUCGACGGGUAGCCGGACUGAGAGGGUGACCGGCCACAUUGGGCCUGAGGUACGGCCCAGACUCCUACGGGAGGCAGAGGUGGGAAAUAGUGCACAAUGGGCGGAAGCCUGAUGCAGCAACGCCGCGUGCGGGAUGACGGCCUUCGGGUUGUAAACCGCUUUCGCCUGUGACGAAGCGUGAGUGACGGUAAUGAGUAAAGAAGCACCGGCUAACUACGUG
This 468-nucleotide ribosomal RNA is filed under the name uncultured bacterium. RNAcentral describes it as "partial 16S ribosomal RNA". It matches the Rfam family "Bacterial small subunit ribosomal RNA", at positions 28 to 507 of the family's 1533-position model. The record is from RNAcentral.